RNAcentral lists this unclassified non-coding RNA (315 nucleotides) under plant metagenome. RNAcentral describes it as "partial contains 5.8S ribosomal RNA, internal transcribed spacer 2, and large subunit ribosomal RNA". The stretch from base 1 to 105 matches the Rfam family "5.8S ribosomal RNA", at positions 50 to 154 of the family's 154-position model. The record is from RNAcentral.
GAACUGCGAUAAGUAAUGUGAAUUGCAGAAUUCAGUGAAUCAUCGAGUCUUUGAACGCACAUUGCGCCCCCUGGCAUUCCGGGGGGCAUGCCUGUCCGAGCGUCAUUGCUGCCCUUCAAGCCCGGCUUGUGUGUUGGGUCGUCGUCCCCUCCGGGGGACGGGCCCGAAAGGCAGCGGCGGCACCACGUCCGGUCCUCGAGCGUAUGGGGCUUUGUCACCCGCUCGAUAAGGACCGGCCGGGCGCCAGCCGGCGUCUCCAACCUUUUUUUCUCAGGUUGACCUCGGAUCAGGUAGGGAUACCCGCUGAACUUAAGC